UGGGGAAUCUUAGACAAUGGGCGCAAGCCUGAUCUAGCCAUGCCGCGUGAGUGACGAAGGCCUUAGGGUCGUAAAGCUCUUUCGCCAGGGAUGAUAAUGACAGUACCUGGUAAAGAAACCCCGGCUAACUCCGUGCCAGCAGCCGCGGUAAUACGGAGGGGGUUAGCGUUGUUCGGAAUUACUGGGCGUAAAGCGUACGUAGGCGGACUAGUCAGUCAGAGGUGAAAUCCCAGGGCUCAACCCUGGAACUGCCUUUGAUACUGCUAGUCUUGAGUUCGAGAGAGGUGAGUGGAAUUCCGGUGUAGAGGUGAAAUUCGUAGAUAUUCGGAGGAACACCAGUGGCGAAGGCGGCUCACUGGCUCGAUACUGACGCUGAGGUACGAAAGUGUGGGGAGCAAACAGGAUUAGAUACCCUGGUAGUCCACACCGUAAACGAUGAAUGCCAGACGUCGGGGGGCUUGCCCUUCGGUGUCACACCUAACGGAUUAAGCAUUCCGCCUGGGGAGUACGGUCGCAAGAUUA
RNAcentral lists this ribosomal RNA (522 nucleotides) under uncultured Alphaproteobacteria bacterium. RNAcentral's name for it is "bacterial SSU rRNA". It matches the Rfam family "Bacterial small subunit ribosomal RNA", at positions 355 to 896 of the family's 1533-position model. The record is from RNAcentral. Lineage: Bacteria; Pseudomonadati; Pseudomonadota; Alphaproteobacteria.